Molecule: ribosomal RNA, 1400 nt
Filed under: uncultured bacterium
Lineage: Bacteria
Description: 16S ribosomal RNA
Rfam family: Bacterial small subunit ribosomal RNA
Source: RNAcentral
UAGAGUUUGAUCCUGGCUCAGGAUGAACGCUAGCGGCAGGCUUAACACAUGCAAGUCGAGGGGCAUCGGGAGGGAAGCUUGCUUUCCUUGCCGGCGACCGGCGCACGGGUGAGUAACACGUAUGCAACCUGCCCUCUUCAGGGGGACAACCUUCCGAAAGGGAGGCUAAUCCCGCGUAUAUCGGUUUCGGGCAUCCGAGAUCGAGGAAAGAUUCAUCGGAAGAGGAUGGGCAUGCGGCGCAUUAGCUAGACGGCGGGGUAACGGCCCACCGUGGCGACGAUGCGUAGGGGUUCUGAGAGGAAGGUCCCCCACACUGGUACUGAGACACGGACCAGACUCCUACGGGAGGCAGCAGUGAGGAAUAUUGGUCAAUGGGAGAGAUCCUGAACCAGCCAAGCCGCGUGAGGGAAGACGGCCCUAUGGGUUGUAAACCUCUUUUGUCGGAGAACAAAACCCGGGACGUGUCCCGGACUGCGUGUAUCCGAAGAAAAAGCAUCGGCUAACUCCGUGCCAGCAGCCGCGGUAAUACGGAGGAUGCGAGCGUUAUCCGGAUUUAUUGGGUUUAAAGGGUGCGUAGGCGGUCCGUUAAGUCAGCGGUAAAAUUGCGGGGCUCAACCCCGUCGAGCCGUUGAAACUGGCAGACUUGAGUUGGCGAGAAGUACGCGGAAUGCGCGGUGUAGCGGUGAAAUGCAUAGAUAUCGCGCAGAACUCCGAUUGCGAAGGCAGCGUACCGGCGCCAGACUGACGCUGAGGCACGAAAGCGUGGGGAUCGAACAGGAUUAGAUACCCUGGUAGUCCACGCAGUAAACGAUGAAUGCUGGUUGUCCGGGUCGAAUGAGAUCUGGCGGGCGAAGCGAAAGCGAUAAGCAUUCCACCUUGGGGAGUACGCCGGCAACGGUGAAACUCAAAGGAAUUGACGGGGGCCCGCACAAGCGGAGGAACAUGUGGUUUAAUUCGAUGAUACGCGAGGAACCUUACCCGGGCUCAAACGGGAGUGGAAUGGACCAGAGACGGUUCAGCCUACGGGCCGCUUCCGAGGUGCUGCAUGGUUGUCGUCAGCUCGUGCCGUGAGGUGUCGGCUUAAGUGCCAUAACGAGCGCAACCCCCGCCGGCAGUUGCUAACGGGCAAAGCUGGGGACUCUGGCGGGACUGCCGGCGCAAGCUGCGAGGAAGGCGGGGAUGACGUCAAAUCAGCACGGCCCUUACGUCCGGGGCGACACACGUGUUACAAUGGCAGGUACAGCGGGAAGCCACCUGGCGACAGGGAGCGGAACCCGAAAGCCUGUCUCAGUUCGGAUUGGAGUCUGCAACCCGACUCCAUGAAGCUGGAUUCGCUAGUAAUCGCGCAUCAGCCACGGCGCGGUGAAUACGUUCCCGGGCCUUGUACACACCGCCCGUCA